This is a long non-coding RNA of Lineus longissimus, 392 nucleotides long. RefSeq lists it as uncharacterized. The record is from RefSeq and is a predicted model, not a curated record. The transcript is spliced from 4 exons. Lineage: Eukaryota; Metazoa; Nemertea; Pilidiophora; Heteronemertea; Lineidae.
GGUUGGGAGUAAGUUGUUCAUUGGUGGAACUGGAAAGGCAAUAAUACGCUGCUAAGAAAAUGAAAGCAAAUACCACUACCAUCACCGUCCAAGUCGUCUAAAACAAAGUUAGUAAAAGCACCAACCACAACCACACAAACAUCUGAUGCAAAGAAGAAAAUGGUCUUCACGCCAGAGAAAAAGGCACCAACUACAGAACAAACAUCUCAUCCCACAUGUCCCAAGAAAAAGAUAGUCUUCACGCCAGACAAAAUGAAGAAAAGAUUAGAUUGACUGUAGACCACUGGUGAUUUGUCGAAGAUUCGGUACCAUUCGAUUAAGAAUUCUACGAGUUAAUGAGCUGAACUUGAAGACAGUCUGUAAACAAUUUGAAGACGAAAUAUAAGGUAGGU